This is a small nuclear RNA of Rattus norvegicus (Norway rat), 103 nucleotides long. The record is from Ensembl. Lineage: Eukaryota; Metazoa; Chordata; Mammalia; Rodentia; Muridae.
UCGCUUCAGAAGCAAAUAUACUAAUAUUGGAACGAUAUAGAGAUGAUAAGCAUAGCCCGUGCACAAGGAUGAUAUGCAAAUUCGUGAAGCAUUCCAUAUUUUU